Molecule: ribosomal RNA, 970 nt
Filed under: Psychrobacter fozii
Lineage: Bacteria; Pseudomonadati; Pseudomonadota; Gammaproteobacteria; Moraxellales; Moraxellaceae
Description: bacterial SSU rRNA
Rfam family: Bacterial small subunit ribosomal RNA
Source: RNAcentral
GCUUACACAUGCAAGUCGAGCGGAAACGAUGAUAGCUUGCUAUCAGGCGUCGAGCGGCGGACGGGUGAGUAAUACUUAGGAAUCUACCUAGUAGUGGGGGAUAGCACGGGGAAACUCGUAUUAAUACCGCAUACGACCUACGGGAGAAAGGGGGCAGUUUACUGCUCUCGCUAUUAGAUGAGCCUAAGUCGGAUUAGCUAGAUGGUGGGGUAAAGGCCUACCAUGGCGACGAUCUGUAGCUGGUCUGAGAGGAUGAUCAGCCACACCGGGACUGAGACACGGCCCGGACUCCUACGGGAGGCAGCAGUGGGGAAUAUUGGACAAUGGGGGAAACCCUGAUCCAGCCAUGCCGCGUGUGUGAAGAAGGCCUUUUGGUUGUAAAGCACUUUAAGCAGUGAAGAAGACUCCGUGGUUAAUACCCACGGACGAUGACAUUAGCUGCAGAAUAAGCACCGGCUAACUCUGUGCCAGCAGCCGCGGUAAUACAGAGGGUGCAAGCGUUAAUCGGAAUUACUGGGCGUAAAGGGAGCGUAGGUGGCUCUAUAAGUCAGAUGUGAAAUCCCCGGGCUUAACCUGGGAACUGCAUCUGAAACUGUAGAGCUAGAGUAUGUGAGAGGAAGGUAGAAUUCCAGGUGUAGCGGUGAAAUGCGUAGAGAUCUGGAGGAAUACCGAUGGCGAAGGCAGCCUUCUGGCAUAAUACUGACACUGAGGCUCGAAAGCGUGGGUAGCAAACAGGAUUAGAUACCCUGGUAGUCCACGCCGUAAACGAUGUCUACUAGUCGUUGGGUCCCUUGAGGACUUAGUGACGCAGCUAACGCAAUAAGUAGACCGCCUGGGGAGUACGGCCGCAAGGUUAAAACUCAAAUGAAUUGACGGGGGCCCGCACAAGCGGUGGAGCAUGUGGUUUAAUUCGAUGCAACGCGAAGAACCUUACCUGGUCUUGACAUAUCUAGAAUCCUGCAGAGAUGCG